GUGAGGAAUAUUGGACAAUGGGCGCAAGCCUGAUCCAGCCAUGCCGCGUGCAGGAAGACGCAUCUAUGGUGUGUAAACUGCUUUUGUACGGGAAGAAACACUCCCUCGUGAGGGAGCUUGACGGUACCGUAAGAAUAAGGAUCGGCUAACUCCGUGCCAGCAGCCGCGGUAAUACGGAGGAUCCAAGCGUUAUCCGGAAUCAUUGGGUUUAAAGGGUCCGUAGGCGGUUUAAUAAGUCAGUGGUGAAAGCCCAUCGCUCAACGAUGGAACGGCCAUUGAUACUGUUAGACUUGAAUUACAAGGAAGUAACUAGAAUAUGUAGUGUAGCGAUGAAAUGCUUAGAUAUUACAUGGAAUACCAAUUGCGAAGGCAGGUUACUAACAAUAUAUUGACGCUGAUGGACGAAAGCGUGGGUAGCGAACAGGAUUAGAAACCCGGGUAGUCC
Molecule: ribosomal RNA, 445 nt
Filed under: uncultured bacterium
Lineage: Bacteria
Description: partial 16S ribosomal RNA
Rfam family: Bacterial small subunit ribosomal RNA
Source: RNAcentral